AUGGUCUACAUGGCGGUGCCAACCCUGAAUCAGACGUUAAAACUAUAUGUACACAACCAAUUGAAGGACGCAAGAAACCAACAGAUCGGCCAAUCGAUCGAUCGGCGUUCCAUCCUCCAGGGAUCAGCCGGGCCUGGCUGCCUAAUACCCGGCGGCCACGUCGUCGCCGGCGGCGGUGGCGCCCUGCUUCUUCUUCUGGACCUUGCCCUUGAUCCACUGGAAGCCGUGCGCGGUGCCCUCCUUCACCUUCUUCAGCCCCGUGGCCGCGGCCGCCUUGGUCUUCUCCACGCCGCCGCCGACGCCGCCCUGCUUCUUGCCGCCGGCCCGCGGGGCCGGGUCGCUGCCGUAGUCCCACUGGUCCGCCCACGACGAGCCGAACGAGUUCUUGCGCUCCAUCAAGAACGAUCUCAAUCAAGAGACGAACAAAAGCUUCUCCUGCGGUCAGUCGGGGCGAGAAUGGCGGGGUUUUAUAGCGGCAUGCGCGGCUCCGCUUCGGGCAACCAAUCAACGGGGAGGCGAUCUUCCAGAAGACACGCGUGGGAGGAAACGUACGCGGAGGUGUCCGGAUACGUCCGGGAACGGGACGCGGUGGUUUCGUUGGCUGCUUGGUUGGUUCUCCUUCCCGCGGCGCUGCAUGCCAGCUUUGACCGGCGUCACUCACGACGGGGGCUGCGGUCCAUCCAUGCGACCUGGGCUGCGUGUCCGAAGCUUCCAGACGUGGAGACGCCGACCGGUGGGCCUGCGGAGAUCGUCGUGGCCCGCGUGUCGGUCUACAGGUAUUCUGGUGGACGUCAACUGUACUUUGGAAUUGAGAAAGGAAGUCAUGUGGGUAUACUAAUGCGUGCAUGGACCAAGUGGACAGGCGACCAAACAAACUAUAUUAACAAAAGCAAUAGAAUUUUUCCCGGCGAUGCCUCAAAAUUCUCUCUCCCGGAUAGGACACACGCCCGCGGGGAUCCUGAGUCGCUGUUGCCGAUAGCCCGAUCAACAGCAGCAACUACCAUUUGGCCGGACAGAGGUUACAAAAAUAGUGUGAUAAUCAGCGUGACCGUGUCUUGGCGGCAAACCAACGACCAGUAA
RNAcentral lists this ribosomal RNA (1080 nucleotides) under Triticum aestivum (bread wheat). Its description in RNAcentral is "partial small subunit ribosomal RNA". Lineage: Eukaryota; Viridiplantae; Streptophyta; Magnoliopsida; Poales; Poaceae. The record is from RNAcentral.